UACGGAGGGAGCUAGCGUUGUUCGGAAUUACUGGGCGUAAAGCGCGCGUAGGCGGCUUUGUAAGUUAGAGGUGAAAGCCUGGAGCUCAACUUCAGAAUUGCCUUUAAGACUGCAUCGCUUGAAUCCGGGAGAGGUGAGUGGAAUUCCGAGUGUAGAGGUGAAAUUCGUAGAUAUUCGGAAGACCACCAGUGGCGAAGGCGGCUUGCCAGAACGCGCUCGACGGUGAGGGAUGAAAGCUGGGGGAGCAAACCGG
Molecule: ribosomal RNA, 253 nt
Filed under: uncultured bacterium
Lineage: Bacteria
Description: partial 16S ribosomal RNA
Rfam family: Bacterial small subunit ribosomal RNA
Source: RNAcentral